Molecule: ribosomal RNA, 253 nt
Filed under: uncultured bacterium
Lineage: Bacteria
Description: partial 16S ribosomal RNA
Rfam family: Bacterial small subunit ribosomal RNA
Source: RNAcentral
UACAGAGGUCUCAAGCGUUGUUCGGAUUCAUUGGGCGUAAAGGGCGCGUAGGCGGCCCGGCGCGUCCGCGGUGAAAGCUCCCGGCUCAACUGGGAGAGGUCCGCGGAAACGGUCGGGCUGGAGCAAGGUAGGGGGUCGUGGAAUUCCCGGUGUAGUGGUGGAAUGCGUAGAGAUCGGGAGGAACACCAGUGGCGAAGGCGGCGACCUGGACCUGUGCUGACGCUGAGGCGCGAAAGCGUGGGGAGCGAUCCGG